This 1107-nucleotide ribosomal RNA is filed under the name Escherichia fergusonii. Its description in RNAcentral is "bacterial SSU rRNA". It matches the Rfam family "Bacterial small subunit ribosomal RNA", at positions 52 to 1149 of the family's 1533-position model. Lineage: Bacteria; Pseudomonadati; Pseudomonadota; Gammaproteobacteria; Enterobacterales; Enterobacteriaceae. The record is from RNAcentral.
CACAUGCAAGUCGAACGGUAACAGGAAGCAGCUUGCUUCUUUGCUGACGAGUGGCGGACGGGUGAGUAAUGUCUGGGAAACUGCCUGAUGGAGGGGGAUAACUACUGGAAACGGUAGCUAAUACCGCAUAACGUCGCAAGACCAAAGAGGGGGACCUUCGGGCCUCUUGCCAUCGGAUGUGCCCAGAUGGGAUUAGCUUGUUGGUGGGGUAACGGCUCACCAAGGCGACGAUCCCUAGCUGGUCUGAGAGGAUGACCAGCCACACUGGAACUGAGACACGGUCCAGACUCCUACGGGAGGCAGCAGUGGGGAAUAUUGCACAAUGGGCGCAAGCCUGAUGCAGCCAUGCCGCGUGUAUGAAGAAGGCCUUCGGGUUGUAAAGUACUUUCAGCGGGGAGGAAGGGAGUAAAGUUAAUACCUUUGCUCAUUGACGUUACCCGCAGAAGAAGCACCGGCUAACUCCGUGCCAGCAGCCGCGGUAAUACGGAGGGUGCAAGCGUUAAUCGGAAUUACUGGGCGUAAAGCGCACGCAGGCGGUUUGUUAAGUCAGAUGUGAAAUCCCCGGGCUCAACCUGGGAACUGCAUCUGAUACUGGCAAGCUUGAGUCUCGUAGAGGGGGGUAGAAUUCCAGGUGUAGCGGUGAAAUGCGUAGAGAUCUGGAGGAAUACCGGUGGCGAAGGCGGCCCCCUGGACGAAGACUGACGCUCAGGUGCGAAAGCGUGGGGAGCAAACAGGAUUAGAUACCCUGGUAGUCCACGCCGUAAACGAUGUCGACUUGGAGGUUGUGCCCUUGAGGCGUGGCUUCCGGAGCUAACGCGUUAAGUCGACCGCCUGGGGAGUACGGCCGCAAGGUUAAAACUCAAAUGAAUUGACGGGGGCCCGCACAAGCGGUGGAGCAUGUGGUUUAAUUCGAUGCAACGCGAAGAACCUUACCUGGUCUUGACAUCCACGGAAGUUUUCAGAGAUGANAAUGUGCCUUCGGGAACCGUGAGACAGGUGCUGCAUGGCUGUCGUCAGCUCGUGUUGUGAAAUGUUGGGUUAAGUCCCGCAACGAGCGCAACCCUUAUCCUUUGUUGCCAGCGGUCCGGCCGGGAACUCAAAGGAGAC